AUUUUAUGAUGUGGACAUUGUAUUUGUAACUCCCCAAAUCUUUCCUAAGCUUCAAAAAAUCUUUCGUAUGUUUUUGUCUAGAAGUUUGAAUUUUGUUUCUUAACUCU
This 107-nucleotide small nucleolar RNA is filed under the name Thalictrum thalictroides. Its description in RNAcentral is "Plant small nucleolar RNA R71". It matches the Rfam family "Plant small nucleolar RNA R71". Rfam says of the family: R71 is a member of the C/D box family of snoRNAs containing the C (UGAUGA) and D (CUGA) box motifs. The record is from Rfam by way of RNAcentral. Lineage: Eukaryota; Viridiplantae; Streptophyta; Magnoliopsida; Ranunculales; Ranunculaceae.